Molecule: ribosomal RNA, 96 nt
Filed under: Corynebacterium xerosis
Lineage: Bacteria; Bacillati; Actinomycetota; Actinomycetes; Mycobacteriales; Corynebacteriaceae
Description: partial 16S ribosomal RNA
Rfam family: Bacterial small subunit ribosomal RNA
Source: RNAcentral
GGGGGAGCUGUCGAAGGUGGGAUCGGCGAUUGGGACGAAGUCGUAACAAGGUAGCCGUACCGGAAGGUGCGGCUGGAUCACCUCCUUUCUAAGGAG